AUGAAGAAGGAGUUUGGGGGCAUGGGGAUGCCAAAUCUCCAGGAUAUGAACCUUUGCCUCAUUGGGUCUUGGGUUAAAAGGUACAUAGCUGGAGAGGAGUCCAUGUGGAGGAAGAUUGUUGAUAACAAAUAUAAUACUAAAAGCCCAAAUAUCCUUUGCUGUCAUGAUCCAGAUACUUCCCAGUUUUGGAAAAGCUUUAUGUGGACUUUGCAAGCUGUGAAGGUGGGAUUUAAAUGGCAGAUAGGUGAUGGCAGUCUAGUUAGAUUUUGGGAAGAUACCUGGUAUGUGAAUGCUCCUUUAGCCACCCAAUAUUGGGAUCUGUAUGUUCUAGUGAACGAGAAGAACAAAACCAUUGCAGAAAUCUGGGAUGGCCAGGAGCUCAAAUGCACCUUUAGAAGGACCUUCUCAGAUGAACUGAUGUCACAAUGGUUUGAGUUAGUGGAUAUUCUCUCUAUGACUAAGUUUAGCCAGGAGAAAGACUCCUUGAUCUAGAAGUAUGAGUCUAAUGGGAUUUACUCUUCUAAAUCUCUUUAUGCUAUUGUUAACUUUAGAGGUGUUCAACCAAUUUAUUUGCCUGUUGUCUGGAGUGUGAAAAUACCACCUAGGGUGCAAGGCUUUCUUUGGCUUCUCUCUCAAAACAAGAUUAUGACUUGUGAUAAUCUUAGGAGAAGAGGCAUUGCAAAGCCCCUCGAAUGUGUCCUCUGUAAAGGAGAUUGA
Molecule: ribosomal RNA, 717 nt
Filed under: Triticum aestivum (bread wheat)
Lineage: Eukaryota; Viridiplantae; Streptophyta; Magnoliopsida; Poales; Poaceae
Description: partial small subunit ribosomal RNA
Source: RNAcentral